This 229-nucleotide unclassified non-coding RNA is filed under the name plant metagenome. Its description in RNAcentral is "partial contains small subunit ribosomal RNA, internal transcribed spacer 1, and 5.8S ribosomal RNA". The record is from RNAcentral.
UCUCCGUAGGUGAACCUGCGGAGGGAUCAUUACAGAGUUCUCGCCCUCGCGGGUAGAUCUCCCACCCACUGUUAUCGUUACUGUGUUGCUUUGGCGGGCCGCCGGGCCCCGCUCGGCCGCCGGCUCCGGCUGGCGCGCGCCCGCCAGAGGCCCAGCAAACUCCGAAUGUUAGUGUCGUCUGAGUACUAUAUAAUAGUUAAAACUUUCAACAACGGAUCUCUUGGUUCUG